UACGAAGGGUGCAAGCGUUGUUCGGAAUUACUGGGCGUAAAGGGCGCGUAGGCGGCCGAGCAAGUUAGAUGUGAAAGUCCUGGGCUUAACCUGGGGACUGCAUUUGAUACUGCUUGGCUUGAAUUCGGGAGAGGAUAGCGGAAUUCCCAGUGUAGAGGUGAAAUUCGUAGAUAUUGGGAAGAACACCGGUGGCGAAGGCGGCUAUCUGGACCGACAUUGACGCUGAGGCGCGAAGGCGUGGGGAGCAAACAGG
Molecule: ribosomal RNA, 253 nt
Filed under: uncultured bacterium
Lineage: Bacteria
Description: partial 16S ribosomal RNA
Rfam family: Bacterial small subunit ribosomal RNA
Source: RNAcentral